RNAcentral lists this ribosomal RNA (253 nucleotides) under uncultured bacterium. RNAcentral's name for it is "partial 16S ribosomal RNA". It matches the Rfam family "Bacterial small subunit ribosomal RNA", at positions 524 to 776 of the family's 1533-position model. The record is from RNAcentral.
UACGGAGGGAGCUAGCGUUGUUCGGAAUUACUGGGCGUAAAGCGCACGUAGGCGGCUUUGUAAGUUAGAGGUGAAAGCCCGGGGCUCAACUCCGGAACUGCCUUUAAGACUGCAUCGCUUGAAUCCAGGAGAGGUGAGUGGAAUUCCGAGUGUAGAGGUGAAAUUCGUAGAUAUUCGGAAGAACACCAGUGGCGAAGGCGGCUCACUGGCCCGGAACUGACGCUGAGACGCGAAAGCGUGGGGAGCAAACAGG